CAGCAGCCACGGUAAUACAGAGGUCCCGAGCGUUGUUCGGAUUCACUGGGCGUAAAGGGUGUGUAGGAGGUUGGAUAAGUCAGGUGUGAAAUCCCGCAGCUCAACUGCGGAACUGCAUUCGAUACUGUUCAACUAGAGGAUCGGAGGGGGAAGCGGAAUUCUUGGUGUAGCGGUGAAAUGCGUAGAUAUCGGAAGGAACACCUGAGGCGAAAGCGGCUCACUGGACCAUAACUGACGCUGAGGCGCGAAAGCUAGGGGAGCAAACAGGAUUAGAUACCCCUGUAGUCCCUGUCUCUUAUAC
This 301-nucleotide ribosomal RNA is filed under the name uncultured bacterium. RNAcentral describes it as "partial 16S ribosomal RNA". It matches the Rfam family "Bacterial small subunit ribosomal RNA", at positions 509 to 807 of the family's 1533-position model. The record is from RNAcentral.